RNAcentral lists this ribosomal RNA (460 nucleotides) under uncultured bacterium. RNAcentral describes it as "partial 16S ribosomal RNA". It matches the Rfam family "Bacterial small subunit ribosomal RNA", at positions 338 to 795 of the family's 1533-position model. The record is from RNAcentral.
CCUACGGGGUGCAGCAGUGAGGAAUAUUGGUCAAUGGGCGGAAGCCUGAACCAGCCAAGUAGCGUGCAGGAUGACGGCCCUACGGGUUGUAAACUGCUUUUAUACGGGAAUAACGCGCCUUAAGUGUAGGGCUUUGCGUGUACCGUAUGAAUAAGGACCGGCGAAUUCCGUGCCAGCAGCCGCGGUAAUACGGAAGGUCCGGCCGUUUUCCGGAUUGAUUGGGUUGAAAGGGAGCGUAGGCGGCAUGAAAAGCGUGCUGUGAAAUGUCCGGGCUCAACCCGGGCCUGGCAGCGCGUACUGGCGUGCGUGAGUCCGCGGAAGGCAGGCGGAAUUCGUGGUGUAGCGGUGAAAUGCUUAGAUAUGGCGAAGAACCCCGAUUGCGAAGGCAGCUUGCUGCAGCGGAACUGACGCUGAUGCUCGAAAGCGCGGGUAUCGAACAGGAUUAGAUACCCGAGUAGUC